GACGAACGCUGGCGGCGUGCUUAACACAUGCAAGUCGAACGGAAAGGCUCCACCUUUCUGGGGUACUCGAGUGGCGAACGGGUGAGUAACACGUGAGUAAUCUGCCCUUCACUCUGGGAUAAGCCUAGGAAACUGGGGCUAAUACUGGAUAUGACCUUUCUCCUCAUGGGGUGUGGUGGAAAGUUUUUCGGUGUAGGAUGGGCCCGCGGCCUAUCAGCUUGUUGGUGGGGUGAUGGCCUACCAAGGCGUCGACGGGUAGCCGGCCUGAGAGGGUGAUCGGCCACAUUGGGACUGAGAUACGGCCCAGACUCCUACGGGAGGCAGCAGUGGGGAAUAUUGCACAAUGGGCGGAAGCCUGAUGCAGCGACGCCGCGUGAGGGAUGACGGCCUUCGGGUUGUAAACCGCUUUCAGCAGGGACGAAGCGUAAGUGACGGUACCUGGAGAAGAAGCACCGGCUAACUACGUG
Molecule: ribosomal RNA, 467 nt
Filed under: uncultured bacterium
Lineage: Bacteria
Description: partial 16S ribosomal RNA
Rfam family: Bacterial small subunit ribosomal RNA
Source: RNAcentral